RNAcentral lists this ribosomal RNA (621 nucleotides) under uncultured bacterium. Its description in RNAcentral is "bacterial SSU rRNA". It matches the Rfam family "Bacterial small subunit ribosomal RNA", at positions 76 to 732 of the family's 1533-position model. The record is from RNAcentral.
UUUAUAACAAUGGCUUUAGUGGCGGACUGGUGAGUAACGCGUGAGCACCUGCCUACUAGAGGGGAAUAACAGUGAGAAAUCAUUGCUAAUACCGCAUAUGAUCACAUGAUAAAAGAGUAAUCUGCUAGUGAUGGGCUCGCGUCUGAUUAGAUAGUUGGUGGGGUAACGGCCUACCAAGUCGACGAUCAGUAGCCGGACUGAGAGGUUGAACGGCCACAUUGGGACUGAGAUACGGCCCAGACUCCUACGGGAGGCAGCAGUCAGGAAUAUUGCGCAAUGGAGGAAACUCUGACGCAGUGACGCCGCGUAUAGGAAGAAGGUUUUCGGAUUGUAAACUAUUGUCGUUAGGGAAGAUACAAGACAGUACCUAAGGAAUAAGCAUCGGCUAACUACGUGCCAGCAGCCGCGGUAAUACGUAGGAUGCAAGCGUUAUCCGGAUUUACUGGGUGUAAAGGGAGCGCAGGCGGGACUGCAAGUUGGAUGUGAAAUACCGUGGCUUAACCACGGAACUGCAUCCAAAACUGUAGUUCUUGAGUGAAGUAGAGGCAAGCGGAAUUCCGAGUGUAGCGGUGAAAUGCGUAGAUAUUCGGAGGAACACCAGUGGCGAAGGCGGCUUGCUGG